Dermacentor albipictus is the source of this 640-nucleotide long non-coding RNA. RefSeq lists it as uncharacterized. Lineage: Eukaryota; Metazoa; Arthropoda; Arachnida; Ixodida; Ixodidae. The record is from RefSeq and is a predicted model, not a curated record.
UCGUGCUCGGGUGCGCCGGAGCUCCGGGCACCUGCUGACGCAAUCAGAAUAAAUCUAGUUUUCGUUUGGGCCUCCCGUCCCUUCUCUACGCUCCGCUCUGUGCAAGGCCCCACAGCGCGAGCCUGGCUGUCUCUGCUGGUUCGACGAUGGCAGUGCCACGACCGAGGUGCAGCCGCUACAGUACCUUCGGUCCCACACUACCACCGCGUCGAGGAGGAGCCACCGCUACAAACACAAGCUGAAAUCCUCGCUUCGGCGUCAUAGUCGGUACACGCCAUGACAAAGGAAGCAAGCAAGCAAGCAAGCAAGCAAGCAAGCAAGCAGGCUGUCAAGGCGAUUGCUGCAGUCCGUUGGCCGACAAGUCCACAUCUUCCGCAUUACCCAUGCGAGGCUCUACCAAACGAGCUACUCCUGUCUCACGACUAUGACUUCCUCAGUACACGCCAUGACAAAGGAAGCAAGCAAGCAAGCAAGCAAGCAAGCAAGCAAGCAAGCAAGCAAGCAAGCAAGCAGGCUGGCAAGGCGGUUGCUGCAGUCCGUUGGCCGACAAGUCCACAUCUUCCACAUUACGUGUGCGAGGCUCUACCAAAAGAGCGACUCCUGUCUCACGACUCUGACUUCCGUAAAGACUUUCAAAUUA